RNAcentral lists this long non-coding RNA (2883 nucleotides) under Homo sapiens (human). RNAcentral describes it as "HSALNT0387431". The record is from RNAcentral. Lineage: Eukaryota; Metazoa; Chordata; Mammalia; Primates; Hominidae.
AGAACAGGAUUUCUGAGCAUGCAGUCAUAACUCUAGGUCAUUCAUUAAUUUCAGGCCCUGCUAGCAGAUACCAAGGAUGACAGUGAAAACAGUCACACGGAAGAAGGAGGGAGGGAGGACCGUGCACUACAAAGAACUCUUUUACACCGAGUUGAGAAAUCAUCGGGUUGUUAGAAUUGGACAGAACAUUUAACUCCCAUUCCUUUAUCAUCUAAAAUCUGAUAUCAUGUCAUUUGGUUCACUUCCUACAAAUAAUUACCUUUUGGCUACAUCAAGGUUAUAAUGAUAAGUUAUCAUUUCGGAGCCCAGACUACAGCCCUCGAACCAAGCUAAGUGACUUAAGUGUGCCAUCUCAUUUAACCCCCACAAAGAUUAUACUUGGCCAGGCUGAUAUCACUUAUUUCAUUUCACAGAUGAGGAUAUUGAUCUCAUGGUCACAAAGCUAGUAAACGGCCGAGAAUCACGCCUCGGUCUGUCCAGCUUCAAAACCUGGAUCCAUCACCAUGACACGCUGCUGAAUGAGGCCCGGGUUCGAGAGUAUCACACUUUAAAAAUAUCAUGAUGCAGAUGAGGAUGUGGUACAGUGAUGACUACCAUGUACACAGUACAUUCUAGACACACACUGUCCCCAAGUGCUUCUCUGCAUCUUCACUUAGUCCCCACUGCAACCCCAUGAGGCCAGCACUGUGACUGGAGGAUGCUGAGAGCAGUGAGGUGAAAUAAGCUGCCCGGCGUCACACAGCUGGGAACUGGCAGAAUUGGGAUUCCAGCUCAGGGAAGCGCCCAUGCUCUUAACUCUUAGGCUACACUGCCUGGCUCUUGGGUGGGGGAUCACUGCAGACAGAGUUAAGCUUUGGUGUGUGGGGGGCGGGGGAGGCAGGGGGAGGGGCAGGUGCUUCAAAGAUGGAAGGGAACACAGAGAAGGGACUUUGCCAACUAAUAUUAGCACAAGUCACAUACUGAGACGAAGGUUUUAAAGAGGAUUUUUUUCCCCCGCUAUUUGAGUUCAUGAGAAGAGUUUGUUACCUAUUGAACAAAUAGUCUUCACUAAUAAAGAACAAUGUGACAAGAAGUCAGCACUGUUCUUAGAUAACUGGGGACACAGGGAGGGCACUCCAGUGUUCCCAUGGAAGGAAUGAAUUCGGGCACAGUCCGUCCCGUGCAACUCCCCUAGGGAGAGAAGGGGCAACUGGAUUCCUCUCGACAAACUAGAAACUUUGUGACAAUGACAAGCUGUUCCCACCCCGGCCCUCCCCUAGGAUGCUGGAGAGCCCAGAGAGGGAAGAGAAGAAACCCAGCGUUGGUGCGGUGCCCACCGCGGACUCGACUUCAUUCCACCUUCACGCUGAGAGGCCAAGAUACCUAGAGAGAGUUCGCGGGGCCGGAGGCUCCCUGCUGUCUCCUGCAAGUGCGUGGGGGUGGGGUCUGAUUUCCACCCGUGUUGGACGUCAGCGGCCUCCGACGCUUUUUGGAAGCAGACUUUUCAGGAACACCUGCUGUGUGGCCGGCACUGUAGUAGGUGCCAGGGAUACAAAGAAGAAACUUUCAGGGCUCUUAGGAAGACAGGAAAACAAGUCAAUCAGCAAUGGUCCUAGCGUGCAGACUUUUCAGGAACACCUGCUGUAAGCCUGGCACUGUGGUAGGUGCCAGGGAUAUAAAGAAGAAAAUUUCAGGGGUUUUAGGAAGACAGCCAAACAAGUCAAUCAGCCAUGACCCUAUCAUGAUGAGGAAACUGAGGUUCUGAAUGAUUAGAUGACUCACCCGAUAUCACACAGCUGGUAAGCACGUGAACCAGGAUGAGAAACCCAGGCUAUCUAUGCCAGUGCCCAGUUAACCAGUUCACCAGAACACCAGAAGCCGCCCCCAGGGCUGCAAGCUGACCAUGCCUGGGACACAGGAGGUUGCAGUGGUGAAGAUCAACAGGCGGGGCGAGGAGCAUCUCCGUCUCCCUCUGAAGACCAUUUGGAAGAGGGUGUGAGAGCUGCCGCCAGGCUUUCCCAGAGAACAGCUGGGCCUGGAAGGGGCGGUCCAGGUCCCAUAAUAACUGCUACCUGCUGCUGCAGCAAUUUUCCCUGCUGGGUGUUUCCAAGUCCGAGUCUCCUGGGGGAGGAGGCUGGGAGGAGGAGGAGGAGGAGGGCUGAUUCUCUAAACUCCCCCUGCUUCUCACCAAAGGUCUGUCCUUGGCCCAGCUUCCCUUCCGAAGGUUGAGUAAUCUCAAAAAAUUGCAGCCUGGCAUGAAAGAGCAGGCCUGCAGGCCAAGCCAGAUCACGUCCGCACGCGGGAUGCUUGGCCCACAUGCUCCUGUACACUUGUAACUGUUAAACCAGAGGACAAGAAGCAACAGAUGUCCUCAGAUCACCAAACCAGCAAAUGCGCAGAGCCAUGGUGGGCGUCUGGCCCCAGUGCUUGGGUGGCCCCUAACAUCAGAUUAAGGAAAAAAGACCUCUCCUCAGCUGGAACGUCCCACUUCCUCCUCCCUCCUCCUCACCAGUAUUUUUCUCUCUGCUUUGCCUGGAUUGGAGUCCUGACCUGGCUACUCCCAGCUGUGUGAACUGGGCCAGCAACUUAGCUCCGUUGUGCCUCAGUUUCUCCAUCUCUAAAUGAAGCGCUUAUUCCUCUCUCAUGGAGCCGUCGUGAGAAUUACGUGAAUGAAUACAGGCUGACUACUUUGAACAGUGCCUGGUACGUAAAGCCCUGUACACUGUAGCUUUUGCUGAUGGUGGUAGACACUCUGCUAUUUAGAGAGGUGUUCUUUCUCUCGAGGCUUUGAUUCCUGCUAAAACAGAAAUCAUUUGGAAAUGGACACUUUUUCUGCCAUUUAGAGAGGUAUUCUUUGUCUUGAGCCUUUGAUUCCUGUUAAAAUAGAAAUGAUUCAAAAAUGAA